This 1133-nucleotide long non-coding RNA is filed under the name Heterocephalus glaber (naked mole-rat). RNAcentral describes it as "lncRNA (ENSHGLG00000038249.1)". The record is from RNAcentral. Lineage: Eukaryota; Metazoa; Chordata; Mammalia; Rodentia; Bathyergidae.
GCGUGGUACAUCAUAGAUAUUCAAUGAAGUUUUUUGGAUAAAGUAAUGAAAGAGUAAGUGGUACAAUUUGGAUCCCAGAGUCCCAAGGGUUAUUUCCCAUCUUGGUGAUCUUAGGAGAUGGUGUGGGACCUUUAAGAGGUGGGGCCUAGUGGGAGAUCUCAGGUAACUGACAGGGUGGCCUCAAGGGGCAUGGUAGGAAUCCAAUCCCGUCCCAUUGCUGUCUUUGGUGUCCUGGCCAUGAAGUGAAUGGUUUAGUCAUGUGCUCCCACUCUGAUGUGCUGCCUUGCCACAGGCCCAACUGACCACAGACAGCCCUCCAAAACUACCAGCGAUGUUAGCCCACCAGAGCAUGAAUCACGGAUCUAGAGAAACGCAACAUCGCCAUCAGCCCAGGUUCAAGGCGCAGAGCCACGCGCCCCCGGUGGGAAGGGCUGCACUGUCGCACUUACACAGAUGACCCGCAGAGAUUCCCAGUUUCAAGACGCAACAAAAAGGCCUCCAGGAAGUGAAGCCGGCAGCUCACUGCUAUGUGUUUAAACUGUAAUUUUCCACUGCCAAAACAAAGAGCAUCCAAAGAGUCCGGUGGAUUUGGGAGAAAAGCCUCCUUCUCCCGGAAGUCGGCCAGAGCCGAGGUCCCGGAGCUGCGCCGCCCCCGGUUUCGCGGGGAGGCUGGGCAUGCACGACAGCCAAGGACGCCCGGGCUGUGGGGCCAGAGAAGUACCAGCAUGGCCUCUCAAGACCCAGAUGUAGAAGUUCUCACAGGUUUCCUUGAGAUUUGGACAACAAAAAAGGAGAGGGAAAGCGAGACAAAUUGGGAUAUUGCAAGACUGGUUACUGCCAGAGUUGAUCCAAGAAGUGCACAAGAGGAGACCUCCGGGCUGGCGUACCACCCCACCAACACACAGGAGGUGAGCCGCACGGGUGCCAGCAGCAACCCCCCCCCCAAUCGAAAUGAGAAGACACGUAAACAAGUCUCAAAACCAGCCUUGCAGAUCACCUACAGCAACUCCAAAGGGAAACGAGAUGGAACACUCUGAUACUCAACCACCUGGACUCCCUGAACUAGCAACAAAAGAGGAUCUGGAAAGAAUGAAAUCAGAAAUAACUUCUCAGAUAACAGCAGAGAUUGUGCU